Molecule: microRNA, 24 nt
Filed under: Eptesicus fuscus (big brown bat)
Lineage: Eukaryota; Metazoa; Chordata; Mammalia; Chiroptera; Vespertilionidae
Source: RNAcentral
UAUUUAGGAAGGCACCAUUCACAU